ACUGGUGUCAGCCGCCGCGGUAAUACCAGCUCUCCGAGUGGUAGGGAUGAUUAUUGGGCUUAAAGCGUCCGUAGCCGGCUUCGCAAGUCUCCUGUUAAAUUCAGCGACCUAAUCGUUGAGCCGCGGGAGAUACUACUAGGCUAGGAGGCGGGAGAGGUCGACGGUACGUCCGGGGUAGGGGUGAAAUCCUAUAAUCCCGGGAGGACCACCAGUGGCGAAGGCUGUCGACUAGAACGCGCUCGACGGUGAGGGACGGAAGCUGGGGGAGCGAACCGGAUUAGAUACCCGGGUAGUCCCAGCUGUAAACGAUGCGGGCUAGGUGUUGGGGUGGCUACGAGCCACUUCAGUGCCGCAGGGAAGCCAUUAA
RNAcentral lists this ribosomal RNA (367 nucleotides) under uncultured archaeon. Its description in RNAcentral is "bacterial SSU rRNA". It matches the Rfam family "Archaeal small subunit ribosomal RNA", at positions 451 to 818 of the family's 1478-position model. The record is from RNAcentral.